GCCACGGGAAACGGCGCGUCGGUUUGAAAGAGUCAACAAACAGCUAGCGACGCUAUCGGUUCAGUUGCUAACACAAGUGACUUAUUUAUUCGGUCAAAUUAUUGUUUAUUAAAGUUUGUUGUUGUUUAUAUUUCAGCUGCGAUGUUUAUUUUACACGUUUCUCUCCUGUAAACCGACUUUACAUUCAGGAAGUUUAGCGGAGUAUUUCAGUACCUCAGGAUCCAGCUGUGCGCAUGAGUGAUGUCCUGUACAGACACUGAGAGACUGAUCCUGCUGCAGGAGCAAGUCAGGAGUCUGAGUCAGGAGCUCGCUCAGUGUCAGGCAGAUAAGGAGUUUGUGUGGUCGCUAUGGAAACGGCUACAGGCGGCGAACCCUGACCUGACGCAGGCCGUGAGUUUAGUGGUGGAGCGUGAGAAACAGAAAGCAGAAGCUAAAGACCGUAAAGUUUUGGAAAUCCUGCAGGUGAAAGACCACAAGAUCCAGGAGUUGGAGAAGGAAGUGAUCUCACAGCGACAGGAACUGAGUGGAUUACUGCAGCAGCAGCAGCGUGCUAGUGAAGUGGAGCAUCAUGUGAUGAAGAAGGAGAUCCUAGAACUUCAGAACACCCUAAGUGAUACAACACAACGCUUACAGGAGUGUGAUGAUGGGUGGAGGAGGUGCUUGGAGGAGCAGCAGGAGCAAAACAGAAAGCAGGAGAUAAACAACACCAGACUCAAGGAGUGUGAUGAUGGGUGGAGGAGGCGGUUUGAGGAGCAGCAGGAGCAGAGCAAGAAGCAGGAGAAGAUAAACAAUGCACGACUCAGGGAGGUGCAGGAGGAGUUGGUGAAGGUUCAAGCCGUCAGCUCAUCUCUCUCUAUUCAGCUCAGUGAGAGAGAGCAGCAGCUCCAGAAGAUAAGGGGGGAGCUGCAAGAUCUUCAGGCUCUGUACGUACAGAGUGUGGCUCAUGCAGGAGAACAGGCAGAUCUCAUCCAGCAGCUGGAAGGUCUCAAUAUGGACACACAGCAGAUCCUACAAAGCCAAGAGAGAGUACACAAUACUCACACUACUUCAUACCACAAGCUGUACAAUGAGCUGAGUGUGUCUUAUCAGGCUCUCCGUCUCAGUGAGGAGCAGCUCCGGCAGAGUCAUGCCUGUCUCACUGAACAGCUUUCUGAGAAGGAAAAGCAGAUCUCUGACCUUCAGGUCCAACUUCAACAUCUCCAACAACCCCAAGCCUGUGAGCAGAAGAUGGAGCAGGAGUGUGUGAAGGCUGCAGAGAGUCAAGAGAGUGUGUUUCACUUCCCGUCUUCUGAGACUCAGAGCUGUGGAACACAUACACAGCAGGCUUCCUGCUCUGUCUCUCCCAGCAGUAGUAAAGCAGCUAAAAAGAAAAUUCAGCAGUUGGAGGAAUUACUGAUUCUUAAGACGGCCGAGAACCAGGAGUUAAGGCGAGCUCAUGCGAAGCGUCACGAUCGUCUGCGUCUGAUUCAGACCAACUACAGAGCGGUGAAGGAGCAGCUGAAGGAGGUUGAGGACACACAGGACUUGUCAAAAGGCAGGACGAGGAGAGCUGAGGUGUGGGAGCUCCGUCAGGAGAACAGUGAUGCAGUUUGGAAUGAGUUGGCCUUCUUUAAAUGCCAGAACAAGAAGCUCCUUGCUGAGAAAGCACAGCUGGAGGAAGAGUUGGAUGUGGUUCGUGUACAAGUGGCCAUGGAGCGAGCUGCAGCGCAGGAGCUGCGUCUGCACGAGGAUCAGCAAGACCAUGAUGAAGAUGAUAAUGAGGACGGAGUGAGCAGUACAUCACUUCCUGUUUACAGACUACAUCACUCUGUUAAAAAGAUAGAAACGCUGGAAAGGAAGAUGGCAUAUCUGGAGAAAGAGACAUUAAAGAUGCAAGAGGACAGGAAGGCACUAAAGGAGGAUAAUGAUUUCCUGCGUGAUGAGCGGGCAAAGCUCCAGGUGAAGAUCCAGGCGGUGCUGCAGCAGGCCCGGGUGCAGGAGGAAGAGACCCAGGCCUGGGUGAGUGCUGAGCGUGGCAGGUUGCUAGGCGAGGCCCAGGCUUUACAGGCCCAGCUGGAGAAAUCCCGCAGAGCAGAGACGGCAUCUCGAGCAGCUUUACUGAGGAUCAGACAGGAAAUGGGAGUGCUGAGGGCUGAGAGAAACUUCCACAGGAACAAGACACGGAGAGGACGAGGACACGGGACACACACCACCACACACACCGUCUCUGUACAGCCAAGGACACACAGCCCAGCCAGGGAUGAGUGGGAGGACAUGAGUCCAGACAGUGAUGGUGAGGAUUUCUCGGACAGUCUGCAGUCUCAACGUGACUUUCGUCCUCCUCCCUCUGUCUCUCACCCGAAGGCCCGCAGAGCACUUCUUAACCGCCGCACACUCACUGCCAAGACUACUGCAGCCACAGCUCACAGCACAGUGUGGCAUCAGGAUGCAGCAAUGAGGAAGAGGAGGACGAUGAUGAAGAGGGGGAGUGUGUGUGUGAUAAACGAAGCAGCGUUCCGUUCUCCUCCAGGUGUGUGUAAGGAUGCAGCAGUCGGGAAGAGGAAGGUGUUGAAGAGGAGACGUGUGUGUGCCGUGUUCACUCAGAGACUGGCAUGUCUGCAGCAGCAGGUUGCAGUUCUGCAGGCGGCCAGCAGGGUGGCUCACAAUGAUCGCCUCAAAUACCAACACACACACAAUGAACUACAGACACUCACACACACACUGCAGAAGCAGUCGUGUGAGCUGGUGAUGCUGCAGCAGCAGAAGUCUGUGUUGGAGGCGGAGUUAGAGCAGUGCAGGAAGUCCUGCCCACCUGAAGCCCCACAACCUGUACGUGACCCUGAGAAGGAUCUCCUGAACAUCAAAACACUGGAGACUGAAAUCAGACAGCUCAACAACAGACUGAAGAGCUCGAGUGCUGAGGUGAACCGUCAGAGCACUUUGAUUAAAGGCCUCAGGACGGAGCUACAUGACCGAGACCAACGCCUUAAAGAGCUACAAGACAAGGUGUGUCACUGUGAGAGGGAUGUGGUGAUGAAGAGACAGUUGGUAGAGGAUCUGCGCAGUCGGCUGAAGGUCCUGCAGGAUUCUGAGCGCAGUCAUCGCUUACACAUUGACGAGCUGGACAGAAAAGUAAAGAGUCAGUGUGAGGAGGCGUCCAACAGGAAGUCAUUUAUUGAGUCUCUGAAGAGAAGGCUGAGCGUCGCUACACACGACAAACAGCAGUGUGAGAACACCAAUAACACACUCCGAGACCAGCUACACACCAAGGAGCAAAAGCUCACAUUGCUGCAGGCUCGGUUGGUGGAGUGUGAGAGGUCAAAAGUCGAGCUGGAGCAGACAGCGAAAGCACAGAUGCAGCUUCUGACCAAUCAGAGCACAGAGACGAUACACACACUGCAGAACAAACUCACACUGACACACACUCAACACCAGCACCUGCGUUCUGUCAUGCAGGUUCUGGCCAUGGACUUGGACAAAGAGGUGAAGGAGACCAGAGCUGAGCUGAGGAAGAGAAGGAGAGAGAGGAAAAAGAAGGAGGGAUCAGAAAGAGGAGUGUCCAAAAGCUCCAUGGUGAAAGCUCAGUCCAUUGCUGCAUCUAUCCUCAAUGUCAGUGCUCACGACCUGGCGAGCAUCCUGGAUACAGCCCAGGAGGAAGACAGUGACGAAGAAGCAGAUGGUGUUUGGUUGGAUCAUAUACAGCAGCUCUUACAGCAUCAGUCCUGCCUCAGGCUCAGAAAUACUGCUGUCAUUUAAUUGGCCUGUAAAGCACCUGUACAUUGUUGUGAGUCGUGUCCCAGCGUCCCCUCGGACCCGGCGGUCGAUAGCGGAUCAGUGGCACUGCUCCAGGGCAAUGUGUGGAUCAGAGCCAGAGUGUUUCUGUAGGUGAGAUGUUGGAUGUUCUGCAGGUGAAGAUGAAGGAGAGCAGGUUGCUGAUGGAAGAACUCUUCAAUCUGAGAGAGAGACACUGAUCACGUUCAUGCAGGACAAACAUCUUUCACAUCUCUUUCAUUCUAUUCAUCCACAUCUCUCAAUCUCUUUAUCACUACAUCUAUUCAUCCACAUCUGUCUUUCUUCGAAAUCUAUCCAUCCACAUCUCAGUUGUGAAGUGUGUAGAUGUGAUUUAAGUGAUUCUUGAUCAAACACUCAUCGCACAGGUGUGUGUUUGUGUGUGUGAUUAAGAGUCAUGUGCCUGUACAGGUGUGUGUGUGUGUGGGUGUGGGUGUGUGUGUGCACGUGUGUUUGUGUGUGUGAUUAAGAGUCAUGCGCCUGUACAGGUGUGUGUGUGUGUGUGUGUGUGUGUGUGUGUGUAUGUUUACAUGAUUAAUACCUACAUGAAUUAAACUCAUUUAUGGAGUGUGUUUAUA
RNA transcript from Silurus meridionalis, 4346 nucleotides. It is a transcript of the gene named centlein, centrosomal protein, with no coding region annotated. The transcript has 30 exons. Lineage: Eukaryota; Metazoa; Chordata; Actinopteri; Siluriformes; Siluridae. The record is from RefSeq and is a predicted model, not a curated record.